AACGUAGGAGGCGAGCGUUAUCCGGAUUUACUGGGCGUAAAGCGCGUGUAGGCGGAUUGGUAAGUUGGCUGUGAAAGCUCCUGGCUUAACUGGGAGAGGUCGGUCAAUACUGUCAGGCUUGAGUCCGGGAGAGGAAGGUGGAAUUCCCAGUGUAGAGGUGAAAUGCGCAGAUAUCAGGAGGAGCACCGAUGGCGAAGGCAGGUCUCUGGGCCGCAACUGACGCUGAGGAG
This 230-nucleotide ribosomal RNA is filed under the name uncultured microorganism. RNAcentral's name for it is "partial 16S ribosomal RNA". It matches the Rfam family "Bacterial small subunit ribosomal RNA", at positions 524 to 753 of the family's 1533-position model. The record is from RNAcentral.